CACAUGGCUGCCUUGUGAUUAAACCCUCUCUCUGCUGCAAUCUUGUCAUCUCAGUGUUUGGUUUUCUGGGCAAAAGUCAAAAAUGAACCUGGGCUUGGUAAUAGUAUGACUAGUAUCCUUAUAAAAAGGGGAAAUUUGGACCCAGAGGGAAGAUGAUGUGAGGAUACAUAGGGAGAAGACCACCCUAUGACUAGAGUGACAUAUCUACAAGCCAAGGAACACCAAAGAUUGCCAGCAAACACCAGAAGCUUAGAAGAGGCAAGCAAAGAUCCUCCCCUUGAGUCAUCAGAGAGAGCAUGGCCCUGUCAACAUCUUGAUCUUGGACUUUUAGCCUCCAGAACUGAGAGACAAUAAAGUUCUGCUGUUGUAAAACACCAAGUUUUUGGUACUUUAUUAUGGCAGCCUUAGGAAACUAACACAGUUAUCAAAACUUAACAGUCAAUAGAAUCAAUUACAAAAUAUAUCAGAUUUGGUUACAUAAAAGGAAACUCAUACACCUGAAAAUAGAAUACAAAAUUUUAAAACAAAAAAUAAAUUGGAAAUUAUUCUAACAAAUAAGAUAAGGUGUUUGUAUCCUUUAAUAAAUCUAAAGCUUUUACAAAUUGUUGAAGAAAAAAGUUACAAAGAUUCCAAAGGGCAUGAACAGAUAAUUCACGAAAGAUAAAAUAUGAAAGAUAACAAAACAUGGUAAAAUAUUCAAUCUCAUUAGGUAAGCAGAGAAAUGAAAGUUGAGACAACGGUGAGCUCAUCUACAUUGUUACAACAUUUUUUUAACCCGGCAAAUUAAAAAAAAGAUUAAAAUUACUCAAUAUUGGCAAGGAUGCAACAUUAAGACAUUCAAUCAGGCAACAUAUACAAAGAAGUUGAAAUUUCACUCUGCUAAGGCAGACAGAUAUUCAUUCCAUUAUAAGAGAGAAUACUAUGCAGCCAUUAAAAGUCAGAUGGAGAAAGACAAAUACCAUGUGAUUUCACGUAUAUGGGGAAUAUAAAAAAACCAAACAAACAAAAACAAACUCAUAGAUACAAAGAACAGAUUGGUGGUCACUAGAGGCAAAAAGGAUUAGGAGGUGGGUGAAAUGAGUGAAGGGGCUCAAUUACAUGGUGAUGAGUAGAAACUAGACUUACAGUGGGUGAUGAUCACUUUGAAGUAUAUACAAAUAUCAAAUUAUACCGUUGCACACCUGAGACCUAUAAAAUGUUAUAUACCAAUUUUAUCUCAAUAAAAAAAAAUCAUACUUAUAUGGCUGAUAGUAAUUGUCUUUGUCUAUUUCUUGUAGGGGUGGGGAUGUGGAUGUCCACUGUGUUCUGCAUUACAUACUUUUAAAUUUGGUAUUAAAACUUUGUAAGUAGAGAUAAAAUAUCUUUACAAAGAAUGUUUAAUUAUUUGAAGAAAUGUUUUGGGUGUGUGUGGUGGGCUACAAAAUACAAACGUAUAACUUUAACUAAAAAUAUAUAGAAGACUAAAUGGAAAAAGACCAAAAUUUUCACAGUGGCCUCUAGCUUAUGACCUUGCUUCAUCUUUCUUUGCUUCCCCUGUUUCAUUCUUUUAUUUGGAGGAGGAAGUAUACUUUCCAGUUUCUCAAUAAUGGAAAUCUUUUAUCAACAGGAACAAAGUGAAAAACAGCAAGGGAGGGAAUCUAAUCAACAGUUUCACAGCUGACAUGACCAUGCACAGAAAUAAAACAAUGAUCCCCUGUCUUCUUUGGGGCUGGGAGAAGCAGUGAUCACAGUGUGAAGAGGUUAGCACUCAGCUGUAACAAACACUUCCCGAAAGAGUGUAAGACAUCCCCUCUCUAGAAUACAUCUCAAGUCACACGGAUUGAGAAACCUUCCACUUCUUCCCUCUGAAGACUUUGCAGAUAGGAAUUAAAGAAUAAAGAGGGUGGUAUUUUCCAUUUAUAUUGCCAUCUAUGUGGGUGGAACCCUCUCUUUCUUGCUUCUGCUAUAGAAUUCAACUUCUAUGACUCAACAGAGGCUUAAUAAAUGCUUCCUGACCUCUAGAACCUGCAAAACUAGAAUUGGCAAGGAUGAUGAGGGAAAGAGCACAAAAUAUAUGUAUAGUCCCUUCCAAAUAUGCUUAAUUAGAGCCUCUCCAUUUAGUGCACUGUUUCAUCUAAUUCAAAAACAGUACAGUCUGAACAGCAGUAAUGGAGACUCAUUAAGUUCCAUUAGCAGCGAAUGGAUACAAUAGAAACCAGCAACUAUUCACAGCAACAGACCUCAAGGGCUGCAGAAACUCCUUUCUUUUUGGAUUCUAUCAUCAACAACAAGGAAAUGAGUACGGGUCACUGUGACUACCUUCUAGGAGCUAUUCUGACGAAUUCCCAGCUUGAUGACAGCAAAGACGGCGAAGGAGGAGACCCACGUGACUCAGCAGGAUGAAAGGCGGGGGCAGCCAAGGCUUCUCAUGGAGUGUUUCAUUAGGUCUUAAUUACCGUUGACAGUCUGUUGUGGAUUAUAAAGUGCUAAUUGAGCCUCUGAGUUGAAUUCAAAGACACCAACUACCAUGAUGAAUACAGCAUGGAAACACAAAUUGAGAUUCAAGACUUUUUUUUUCCUUACAAGAAGUCCUUUCACUCUGGUUCUCCCACCAAGUCAACACAACCAGAAGGCCCACACUCUCUCCAUCAAGAUAACAGACUUCAGAAAAAUGAGCGACGAACUUUUUAAAUGUGCUGUAGAUGGAUUUUAAUCAUGGUGAUAAAAAAAAGGCACCCCCAGUCUUCUGCAGAUGUGAACAAAAGUUCUUGGUAAUUAAAAAAGAAAGAAUUAAGGCAUAAGAGUCUGUGAUAAUUGGGAAGUUUUGGUAACUAAUGGGGGAUCAGAUGAUUUUAUUUUAAGUCUGACUUAGAAGUUCAAGGAGAACACCAUGAGCAGACUACGAGGAAGCGUAUAAAGUGAUGGGCUUCAUCCUGGCUCCCUAGAACAAAGGUUAGCCUCACUAAUGAAGUAACAGAGCCCCCAAGUUAUCACAAAUAUUCAAAACAGCAAUAUUGAGAACAAUGGAAAUCACUUAUUAGUCCUGCGAUAAAGACAACAGAACCAGGAAGUUUCUUUAUUUUCAGCAGGUAUUAUUAUCAUCAUUGGCAGUAUGGUUACAUCAUGUUGAGCUGAAGUUCUGAUGGAAGUUCUGAUGGAAUUCAUGUUUUCAUUAGAGAAAAAUUACUAGCUAAUGCUACUUACUUGGUGGAUCACAUCUUUACAAAUAUAAAGUAAAUUAUAGGAAAAAAUGUGUGGUUUGGUGAUAAAAUUGUUCAGUCACGAGUAAAGAGGGUAGAUAAUUCACUAGAAAAUCCAUAUCUACAUUUUAUGAAGCAAAAUCUGGCAACAUCUCCAUCCCAAAGCUGAGGCAAUACACAAAGAAAUUUGCACACCUUCAUAAUUA
Molecule: long non-coding RNA, 3385 nt
Organism: Equus caballus (horse)
Lineage: Eukaryota; Metazoa; Chordata; Mammalia; Perissodactyla; Equidae
Source: RefSeq, a predicted model, not a curated record